UGAACGCUGGCGGCGUGCCUAAUACAUGCACGUCGAGCGAACAGACGAGGAGCUUGCUCCUCUAACGUUAGCGGCGGACGGGUGAGUAACACGUGGAUAACCUACCUAUAAGACUGGGAUAACUUCGGGAAACCGGAGCUAAUACCGGAUAAUAUAUUGAAUCGCAUGGUUCAAUAGUGAAAGACGGUUUUGCUGUCACUUAUAGAUGGAUCCGCGCCGCAUUAGCUAGUUGGUAAGGUAACAGCUUACCAAGGCAACGAUGCGUAGCCGACCUGAGAGGGUGAUCGGCCACACUGGAACUGAGACACGGUCCAGACUCCUACGGGAGGCAGCAGUAGGGAAUCUUCCGCAAUGGGCGAAAGCCUGACGGAGCAACGCCGCGUGAGUGAUGAAGGUCUUCGGAUCGUAAAACUCUGUUAUUAGGGAAGAACAAAUGUGUAAGUAACUAUGCACGUCUUGACGGUACCUAAUCAGAAAGCCACGGCUAACUACGUG
RNAcentral lists this ribosomal RNA (495 nucleotides) under uncultured bacterium. RNAcentral describes it as "partial 16S ribosomal RNA". It matches the Rfam family "Bacterial small subunit ribosomal RNA", at positions 30 to 507 of the family's 1533-position model. The record is from RNAcentral.